Molecule: ribosomal RNA, 490 nt
Filed under: uncultured bacterium
Lineage: Bacteria
Description: partial 16S ribosomal RNA
Rfam family: Bacterial small subunit ribosomal RNA
Source: RNAcentral
AUUGAACGCUGGCGGCAGGCCUAACACAUGCAAGUCGAACGGUAACAGGAAGCAGCUUGCUGCUUCGCUGACGAGUGGCGGACGGGUGAGUAAUGUCUGGGAAACUGCCUGAUGGAGGGGGAUAACUACUAGAAACGGUAGCUAAUACCGCAUAACGUCGCAAGACCAAAGAGGGGGACCUUAGGGCCUCUUGCCAUCGGAUGUGCCCAGAUGGGAUUAGCUAGUAGGUGGGGUAACGGCUCACCUAGGCGACGAUCCCUAGCUGGUCUGAGAGGAUGACCAGCCACACUGGAACUGAGACACGGUCCAGACUCCUACGGGAGGCAGCAGUGGGGAAUAUUGCACAAUGGGCGCAAGCCUGAUGCAGCCAUGCCGCGUGUAUGAAGAAGGCCUUCGGGUUGUAAAGUACUUUCAGCGGGGAGGAAGGGAGUAAAGUUAAUACCUUUGCUCAUUGACGUUACCCGCAGAAGAAGCACCGGCUAACUCCGUG